Molecule: long non-coding RNA, 857 nt
Organism: Gorilla gorilla gorilla (western lowland gorilla)
Lineage: Eukaryota; Metazoa; Chordata; Mammalia; Primates; Hominidae
Exons: 3
Source: RefSeq, a predicted model, not a curated record
ACAUUAUUGGCAGCAUGAUUUUGAAGGAAACAAACUGCCUUUUAUUAAGAGAGUUGAAAAGAAUGAUGGCUUAUUGUAGUGAGCUAUAAUGAAAGAUCACAGUGUGCAUGAAGUUAAUGCAUUCACCAAAUGAAGCUGCUGCUGACCUCCAGAAUCUCUCUCUGCUGCCCAGGCUGGAGUGCAGUGGGAUGAUCUCGGCUCAUUGAAACCUCCACCUCCAGGUUCAAGCGAUACUCCUGCCUCAGGCUCCCGAGUAGCUGGGACUACAAGUGUGCACCACGAUGCCCAGGGCCAUGGCCUGAGGUGUUGACAAAUACAUCCAUGAAUGCUCCAAGGCGAGGAGGGAUGAUUCGAACAAAGUCCAAGCAUAUUCAGAGGAAAUCAGGACUGAGAGUCUUCAUGGCCAAUGCUCAAAUUUGAGGCUGAGGUGAUGAUUUUUAGGUGAGUAACCAAAAAUAAUCUAAGGGAUGGAUAUUUUGAGAUGUCUGGAAAAAUAGACCAGGUGUGGGAAACUGGAAAAGUAGCAGCUCUGCAGUUUACUCUCCUCCUUCCUGCCUCUUCUGUGCCACCCAGUCUGGACUGCUCCUGGGGAACAAGGGCUGGUAUAUGGCAGUAGCUACCUGAGGAAUAGGAGGCGGAGGUCUGAGAGGGCAGAGAGAAAAUGGGGAGUUCCCGUGGCCACCUGCUUAGAUCAACCAGCUUCUUGUGAAUUUGAAGGUAUUUAAGUAAAAAGGAAACAUGAUAAUUAACCCCUAAAUAAUAACUGCUAGUAUAUGCCUCCAUUUUUGAGGAAGGCAUAGAUUAUUGAAUGAGCUGCAUAGAUUAUUUAUUGAGCUGCAAUGAUUCAGUUUACAAUA